GGCGCGGCUGUGCCCGCCACUUCCCUCGGGCACCCGAGGCCCCUCGCAAAGUCUCGCCCCAUUCCCAGUCCGGCGGACGAACUUUGCCCGCGCCCCCCACCAAGGCUAUAGCCCACCCGUUUUUUGGCCAUUUUUCCGCUGGGGGGUUUUGGCACCACGACCUUCGGGAGCUUAUUUUUGGGCGCGGCCUUGCCCGCAGCUUAUUUUUGGCACCCCGAGGCCCCUCGCAAAGUCUCGCCCCAUUCCGAGUCCGGCGGACGAACUUCGCCCGCGCCCCCCACCAAGGCUAUAGCCCACCCGUUUUUUGGCUAUUUUUCCGCUGGGGGGUUUUGGCACCACGACCUUCGGGCGCUUAUUUUUGGACGCGGCUGUGCCCGCAACUUCCCGUGGGCAGUCCGAGGCCCCUCGCAAAGUCUCGUCCCAUUCCGAGUCCGGCGGACGAACUUCGCCCGCGCCCCCCACCAAGGCUAUAGCCCACCCGUUUUUUGGCCAUUUUUCCGCUGGGGGGUUUUGGCACCACGACCUUCGGGCGCUUAUUUUUGGGCGCGGCUGUGCCCGCAACUUCCCGCGGGCACCCCGAGGCCCCUCGCAAAGUCUCGCCCCAUUCCGAGUCCGGCGGACGAACUUCGCCUGCGCCCCCCACCAAGGCUAUAGCCCACCCGUUUUUUGGCCAUUUUUCCGCUGGGGGGUUUUGGCACCACGACCUUCGGGCGCUUAUUUUUGGGCGCGGCUUUGCCCGCGGCUUAUUUUUGGGCGCGGCUUUGCCCGCGGCUUAUUUUUGGUGCCCCGAGGCCCCUCGCAAAGUCUCGUACCAUUCCGACUCCGGCGGACGAACUUCGUCCGCGCCCCCCACCAAGGCUGUAGCCCACCCGUUUUUUGGCCAUUUUUCCGCUGGGGGGUUUUAGGACCACGACCUUCGGGCGCUUAUUUUUGGGCGCGGCUUUGCCCGCGAUUUAUUUUUGGCACCCCGAGGCCCCUCGCAAAGUCUCGGCCCAUUCCGAGUCCGGCGGACGAACUUCGCCCGCGCCCCCCACCAAGGCUAUAGCCCACCCGUUUUUUGGCCAUUUUUCCGCUGGGGGGUUUUGGCACCACGACCUUCGGGCGCUUAUUUCUGGACGCGGCUGUGCCCGCGACUUCCCGCUGGCACCCCGAGGCCCCUCGCAAUGUCUCGCCCCAUUCCAAGUCCGGCGGACGAACUUCGCCCGCGCCCCCCACCAAGGCUAUAGCCCACCCGUUUUUUGGCCAUUUUUCUGCUGGGGGGUUUUGGCACCACGACCUUCGGGAGCUUAUUUUUGGGCGCGGCCUUGCCCGCGGCUUAUUUUUGGCACCCCGAGGCCCCUCGCAAAGUCUCGCCCCAUUCCGAGUCCGGCGGACGAACUUCGCCCGCGCCCCCCACCAAGGCUAUAGCCCACCCGUUUUUUGGCUAUUUUUCCGCUGGGGGGUUUUGGCACCACGACCUUCGGGCGCUUAUUUUUGGACGCGGCUGUGCCCGCAACUUCCCGUGGGCAGUCCGAGGCCCCUCGCAAAGUCUCGUCCCAUUCCGAGUCCGGCGGACGAACUUCGCCCGCGCCCCCCACCAAGGCUAUAGCCCACCCGUUUUUUGGCCAUUUUUCCGCUGGGGGGUUUUGGCACCACGACCUUCGGGCGCUUAUUUUUGGGCGCGGCUUUGCCCGUGGCUUAUUUUUGGCGCUCCGAGGCCCCGCGCAAAGUCUCGCCCCAUUCCGAGUCCGGCGGACGAACUUCGCCCGCGCCCCCCACCAAC
Molecule: long non-coding RNA, 1762 nt
Filed under: Citrus x clementina
Lineage: Eukaryota; Viridiplantae; Streptophyta; Magnoliopsida; Sapindales; Rutaceae
Description: Citrus clementina (C. clementina) long non-coding RNA (CCLE_LNC005826)
Source: RNAcentral